RNAcentral lists this ribosomal RNA (253 nucleotides) under uncultured bacterium. RNAcentral describes it as "partial 16S ribosomal RNA". It matches the Rfam family "Bacterial small subunit ribosomal RNA", at positions 524 to 776 of the family's 1533-position model. The record is from RNAcentral.
UACGUAGGGGGCAAGCGUUGUCCGGAAUCAUUGGGCGUAAAGCGCGUGUAGGCGGCUCGGUAAGUCCGCUCUGAAAGUCCGGGGCUCAACCCCGGGAGGCGGGUGGAUACUGUCGAGCUCGAGUCCGGAAGAGGCGAGUGGAAUUCCUGGUGUAGCGGUGACAUGCGCAGAUAUCAGGAGGAACACCGAUGGCGAAGGCAGCUCGCUGGGACGUGACUGACGCUGAGACGCGAAGGCGUGGGGAGCAAACAGG